UGAGCUAGCACUCAGCAUUAUGGUAGGUCGU
RNAcentral lists this non-coding RNA (31 nucleotides) under Mus musculus (house mouse). The record is from RNAcentral. Lineage: Eukaryota; Metazoa; Chordata; Mammalia; Rodentia; Muridae.